GCAGCGGUGGUUCAGUGGUAGAAUUCUCACCUUCUGUGAGACAGAUAUGGAUUCAAUUCCCUUUUAAUGCA
Molecule: transfer RNA, 71 nt
Filed under: Loxodonta africana (African savanna elephant)
Lineage: Eukaryota; Metazoa; Chordata; Mammalia; Proboscidea; Elephantidae
Rfam family: tRNA
About the family: Transfer RNA (tRNA) molecules are approximately 80 nucleotides in length. Their secondary structure includes four short double-helical elements and three loops (D, anti-codon, and T loops).
Source: Rfam by way of RNAcentral